GAUGAACGCUAGCGGGAGGCUUAAUACAUGCAAGUCGAACGGUAAGGUCUCUUCGGAGAUACACGAGUGGCGCACGGGUGAGUAACGCGUACACAAUCUACCUCUUAGAGGGGGAAAGUCGCUGGAAACGGCGAAUAAUACCCCAUAGUAUCAUAAUAUCGCAUGGUAUAAUGAUUAAAACUCCGGUGCUAAGAGAUGAGUGUGCGUUCCAUUAGCUUGUUGGUGAGGUAACAGCUCACCAAGGCGACGAUGGAUAGGGGGCGUGAGAGCGUGACCCCCCACACGGGUACUGAGACACGGACCCGACUCCUACGGGAGGCAGCAGUAAGGAAUAUUGGACAAUGGGCGCAAGCCUGAUCCAGCCAUCCCGCGUGUAGGAUGACUGCCCUAUGGGUUGUAAACUACUUUUAUAAGGGAAGAAACGCCUCCAUUUAUGGGGGCCUGACGGUACCUUAGGAAUAAGCACCGGCUAACUCCG
Molecule: ribosomal RNA, 478 nt
Filed under: uncultured Saprospiraceae bacterium
Lineage: Bacteria; Pseudomonadati; Bacteroidota; Saprospiria; Saprospirales; Saprospiraceae
Description: bacterial SSU rRNA
Rfam family: Bacterial small subunit ribosomal RNA
Source: RNAcentral